RNAcentral lists this ribosomal RNA (401 nucleotides) under uncultured bacterium. Its description in RNAcentral is "bacterial SSU rRNA". It matches the Rfam family "Bacterial small subunit ribosomal RNA", at positions 30 to 431 of the family's 1533-position model. The record is from RNAcentral.
AUUGAACGCUGGCGGCAGGCCUAACACAUGCAAGUCGAGCGGUAGAGAGGAGCUUGCUUCUCUUGAGAGCGGCGGACGGGUGAGUAAUGCCUAGGAAUCUGCCUAGUGGUGGGGGAUAACGUUCGGAAACGGACGCUAAUACCGCAUACGUCCUACGGGAGAAAGCGGGGGACCUUCGGGCCUCGCGCCAUUAGAUGAGCCUAGGUCGGAUUAGCUAGUUGGUGAGGUAAAGGCNCACCAAGGCGACGAUCCGUAACUGGUCUGAGAGGAUGAUCAGUCACACUGGAACUGAGACACGGUCCAGACUCCUACGGGAGGCAGCAGUGGGGAAUAUUGGACAAUGGGCGAAAGCCUGAUCCAGCAAUGCCGCGUGUGUGGAGAAGGCCUGCGGGUUGUAAAGC